ACACGACUACAUUAGAUACCCGGUAGUCCCAGCCCUAAACGAUGCGCGUUAGGUGUAUCGGUGACCACGAGUCACCGAGGUGCCGAAGGGAAACCGUGAAACGUGCCGCCUGGGAAGUACGGUCGCAAGGCUGAAACUUAAAGGAAUUGGCGGGGGAGCACCGCAACGGGAGGAGCGUGCGGUUCAAUUGGAUUCAACGCCGGACAACUCACCAGGAGCGACGGUUACAUGAAGGCCAGGCUGAUGACCUUGCCUGAUUUUCCG
RNAcentral lists this ribosomal RNA (264 nucleotides) under uncultured archaeon. RNAcentral's name for it is "partial 16S ribosomal RNA". It matches the Rfam family "Archaeal small subunit ribosomal RNA", at positions 717 to 982 of the family's 1478-position model. The record is from RNAcentral.